UACCUGAUUGAUUCUGUCAGCGCGAUAUGCUCAAGUAAAAGAUUAAGCCAUGCAUGCUUUGAUUCAUAAAUGAAAUUGCGUACGGCUCAUUAGAGCAGAUAUCACCUUUCUCGGAAUACCUGAAAAGGAUAACUGCGGAAAUUCUGGAGCUAAUACAUGCGACUAUACUCCAACGCAAGGCGGGGUGCAAUUAUUAGAACAGACCAAACGUUUUCGGACGUUGUUUGUUGACUCUGAAUACCGUCGUUUACUGUCAGUUUCGACUGACUCUAUCCGAGAAGGGUGUCUGCCCUUUCAACUAGAUGGUAAUCUAUUGGACUACCAUGGUUGUUACGGGUAACGGAGAAUUAGGGUUCGACUCCGGAGAGGGAGCCUUAGAAACGGCUACCACGUCCAAGGAAGGCAGCAGGCGCGAAACUUAUCCACUGUUGAGUAUGAGAUAGUGACUAAAAAUAUAAAGACUCAUCCUUUUGGAUGAGUUAUUUCAAUGAGUUGAAUAUAAAUUAUUCUUCGAGUAGCAAGGAGAGGGCAAGUCUGGUGCCAGCAGCCGCGGUAAUUCCAGCUCUCCUAGUGUAUCUCGUUAUUGCUGCGGUUAAAAAGCUCGUAGUUGGAUCUAGGUUACGUGCCGCAGUUCGCAAUUUGCGUUAACUGUGGUCGUGACUUCUAAUUUGCUGGUUUGAGGUUGGGUUCGCCCUUCAACUGCCAGCAGGUUUACCUUGAAUAAAUCAGAGUGCUCAAUACAGGCGCUUGCUUGAAUAGCUCAUCAUGGAAUAAUGAAACAGGACUUCGGUUCUUUUU
RNAcentral lists this non-coding RNA (798 nucleotides) under Caenorhabditis japonica. Its description in RNAcentral is "Eukaryotic small subunit ribosomal RNA". It matches the Rfam family "Eukaryotic small subunit ribosomal RNA", at positions 1 to 841 of the family's 1831-position model. Lineage: Eukaryota; Metazoa; Nematoda; Chromadorea; Rhabditida; Rhabditidae. The record is from Rfam by way of RNAcentral.